Molecule: long non-coding RNA, 129 nt
Organism: Cucurbita moschata (crookneck pumpkin)
Lineage: Eukaryota; Viridiplantae; Streptophyta; Magnoliopsida; Cucurbitales; Cucurbitaceae
Exons: 3
Source: RefSeq, a predicted model, not a curated record
UGAAUCGAUAGAUAAUGUGUCUAUUUGCACAGGCACACUACUCUCCCCCAACAAAACUCUUGUCACUCUCACUUUUAUUUCUUAAUUGAUCUUUGCCUCCCCAUUCCUUCUGCGUUGAUACCACUGUUU